UGGGGAAUAUUGGACAAUGGGCGAAAGCCUGAUCCAGCAACGCCGCGUGAGGGAUGACGGCCUUCGGGUUGUAAACCUCUUUCAGCAGGGACGAAGCGCAAGUGACGGUACCUGCAGAAGAAGCACCGGCCAACUACGUGCCAGCAGCCGCGGUAAUACGUAGGGUGCGAGCGUUGUCCGGAAUUAUUGGGCGUAAAGGGCUCGUAGGCGGUUUGUCACGUCGGGAGUGAAACUCGGGGCUUAACCCGAGCCUGCUUCCGAUACGGGCUGACUAGAGGUAUGCAGGGGAGAACGGAAUUCCUGGUGUAGCGGUGAAAUGCGCAGAUAUCAGGAGGAACACCGGUGGCGAAGGCGGUUCUCUGGGCAUUACCUGACGCUGAGGAGCGAAAGUGUGGGGAGCGAACAGGAUUAGAUACCCUGGUAGUCCACACCGUAAACGUUGGGCGCUAGGUGUGGGACUCAUUCCACGAGUUCCGUGCCGCAGCUAACGCAUUAAGCG
This 499-nucleotide ribosomal RNA is filed under the name uncultured Actinomycetes bacterium. RNAcentral's name for it is "bacterial SSU rRNA". It matches the Rfam family "Bacterial small subunit ribosomal RNA", at positions 355 to 866 of the family's 1533-position model. The record is from RNAcentral. Lineage: Bacteria; Bacillati; Actinomycetota; Actinomycetes.